CAACACCAUCUCCAAUGUCCACUUCAGUAAUUUUUUUAUCUUUUGGAAUCUUCUAAUGUCAUUACUCUCUUUUCUUAUGACAACCUGUCUUCUUCUGCUUUCUUUUCCUCAGCUUUUCUCCUGCAUAAUGUUCAAUCUAUUUUUCAAAUUAAUCAUAAUGUAACCUUUAUCUCUCUCCCUUCUGUACCUGGUAAAAAAGCAGGAUCGAUUAUGAAUAAACCACAAUUAAGUCUAUUCCUUUGUUGAAUAAGGCAUAUCUCAUAUACCUCACAAAUCUAGGUACUUAUAUAUGGUUGUAAAGACGUUUUUGCCCUAAUAAUUCAUUGUCGAUUGUUUUUCUCUUUCUCCUUCCAACAUCCAAGUUUUUCAAAGCUUCGAUAAAAAUUGAUUUCUCUUUUGGUUUAGAAUUUUGAUGAAUUGGAAAAUAAUUGAUCUGAUUUGUGUUUAAGAUUAGAGUUUUUGGGUUCCCUGGACAGUAUCCCUUAGAGUUUAGAUUCCUUCAAUGACAAUUCGUUUGAUUGGAUCCAUGGGAUUUUAGAAAAGAUUGGUGUUGACGGAUAUAACAAUGAUAGAGUAGAAGAAUACGGCGUUAAUGAAGUAAUUGCGGUGGGGAGAACUGAGAAGCAAGGACUGUUGUGGUCGGAAAAAAUUGUGGUGAUGAUGAAGAAGACGAUGAAAGAUGAGAACACAAUCAAUUAGAGAAAGGGGUAAAAUCGUCAUUUUUUAUUUCAACAAGUACUUAUUUUUAUAAGCCCAUUAAAAUGUUCUUUUUCUCUAGUUUUUGGCCCAAUAAGUACCCAAUUCUAUAAUACCCCCUAAAAAAGCAUGUGUUUCAUUUAUGUUUUAAAAACACGAAAUAAAAACUAAAAACUGACAGUUCCUUAUCCCCAUGCAUCUAAAAGAUAGUCUCUUUUUUUUUAUUACUAUCCGUUACUUAUAUGGUUCUAUCUGUCUAGAAAUUUGGUAAUACUAAUCAACUAAAGGGUGUGUGCAAAAAAAAAAAAAAAAAUCAACGAAAGGG
This 1021-nucleotide long non-coding RNA is filed under the name Arabidopsis thaliana (thale cress). Its description in RNAcentral is "long non-coding RNA (ATHA_LNC000213)". The record is from RNAcentral. Lineage: Eukaryota; Viridiplantae; Streptophyta; Magnoliopsida; Brassicales; Brassicaceae.